Molecule: small RNA, 249 nt
Filed under: Otolemur garnettii (small-eared galago)
Lineage: Eukaryota; Metazoa; Chordata; Mammalia; Primates; Galagidae
Description: Metazoan signal recognition particle RNA (ENSOGAG00000029189.1)
Source: RNAcentral
GCCGGGUGUUGUGGCAGGUGCCUGUAGUCCCAGCGACUCGGGAGGCUGAGGCAGUAGAAUUGCCUAAGCCCAAGAGCUGGAGGUUGCUGUGAGCUGUGACGCCACAGCACUCUACCGAGGGUGACAAAGUGAGACUCUGUUUCUUAAAAAAAUAUAUUGAGACAGUCUCACUUUGUCACCCUCGGUAGAGUUCUGUGGCAUCACAGCUCACAGUAACUUCAAACUGUUGGGCUUAAGUGAUUCUCUUGC